CUUACUCUGCCAUUUUCCAGCUGUGUGGCUUUGGGCAAGUUAUUUAACCUCUCUGUGCCUCAACUUCUUCAUGUAAACUGGCAGUAAUAAUAAUACGAAUGCCACAGAGCUGUGGAUGAAAUGAGCCCAUGAAUGUCUGAAGACACAUCAUAACCUUUGUGACAAUGCUAAUCAUGUGGGAAUGGUGCUGUUUCCCCACCACAAGCUGGCCAAUUCCGGUCUGGCUUCUUUAACCAGGAAGAUGUGGGCUGAGAGCUGUGGAGUAGAUGUCUUCACCAGAUGAGUACACAGAGAAGUAGAGAAUGUGUAUCUGCAGAGUAGGAUGAAGCAGAGACAAGUCUUGUGAAUAAGGUAUUCAGGAAGCACAGCUGUCUUUUGUUCCUGAAGCCGUAUCAGGAUUCAGCAGGAAAGAGCACCAAGAUCACUUGGCAAUGUUUAUCCUGAUCAAGCACGGGCACUGAUGGCAGAUGCAGGACAAAGGACAGAACUCUAAGUCAUCCCUGUGCUCACCUGAGACAAAUGCAUGUCUGAUUGCUUCCACUGAUGUAAAAAUGCAGAUUUGCUGAGUUAGACGAAGACGAUGGCAGAGAGCAGUCUUCAUCCUGAGCCCCAUUCCUAGGUAAGUAGCUGAAUUGGGGUUUUGUUUUGGAAAUUCUCCUUAAUGGCUAAAGUUAAGAUUAACAACCAGCUGGUCUUAAUUUCUUCUUACCAUUAGAGCACUCAGUAAUCUAAUAUAAAUUAUAAAUCUAAUAUAUUAGAUUUAUUUUGGGUUUGACCAACUCUAUCUGACUUGAUCAAAUCCAAAGGAAAGUUCCAAAUUAUGGGGAAUAAGGCCUCUGAAUUGGCUACAUUCCUGCAGCUGAAAAUAAGGAAAGAAAAAAGGGAAAAAGUAAAAGCAGCCAGGCCGGGCAUGGUGGCUCAAACCUGUAA
Molecule: long non-coding RNA, 930 nt
Filed under: Homo sapiens (human)
Lineage: Eukaryota; Metazoa; Chordata; Mammalia; Primates; Hominidae
Description: HSALNT0320348
Source: RNAcentral